AUUUGCCAAAAUAAAAUAAAAUAAAUCCUCUGUGGGCUGCAGUGGGCCAAGAACCAGCAGUUUGCUACCUCCACUUUAAAUCUCGGGCAUUGUGACCUGCCAGAGGCUUGGCAGCAGUGCUCACAAGAGGGGUGGGGGCUCCAUGACAACUUGACCAGCUGUGAUGCCUGCAGAGGCAGAGAGUACAAGGAAUCACUUUGUGAGGAACACUGAAGUAGAAUCCUACCUACAAGGAGAAGAAAGGGACUAUUGUUGGGGGCCAUGAGGAAAGGCCUCCCAGAUUGGGGUCAUGAGCUGAGAUUUCAAGGGUCAAAAGAUGCAAAAUGGGAAGGGAGAUAACGAGACAAAGUAUUCCAGGUACCUAGACUUCAGUUUCAAGUUGUAAAGCUAUCAUACACGUUCCAACUCAGAACCUGGAACUCACACCAAGACUUCAUGCCAUGCUAAUGUAUGAAAGAGCCUACACAACUUGCUCUGAACAUCUGAAUUUCAUAUGAUGGGAAAAAAACAUCACCUAAUGUUAUCUCUACUUCUAUCUUCAAGCUUAUUUCUAAAGUGUCUUCCUGAAGGCAACUCCUUGGGCCUACCAAUUACUAACUUUGGCUGAGUUGAUGUUUUAGAUGAUGUUUCGUUCAAUGAGAGACUGUAUAUACAAUGGUGGUCCCAUAAGACUAUAAUGAAGCUAAAAAAUUUC
Non-coding RNA from Microcebus murinus (gray mouse lemur), 694 nucleotides. The record is from RefSeq and is a predicted model, not a curated record. NCBI's taxonomy places the organism in Eukaryota, Metazoa, Chordata, Mammalia, Primates, Cheirogaleidae.